GUCUGUAUGAAGUUAUAUAGAGUCUAACCUGCCCAUUGAAUAAUUUUAAAAGGCCGCAGUAUAUUAACUGUGCAAAGGUAGCAUAAUCAUUAGUUUUUUAAUUGAAGGCUUGUAUGAAGGGUUGGACAAAGAAUAAUCUGUUUCUAUUUUUAUUUUUGAAUUUAACUUUUAAGUGAAAAGGCUUAAUUGAGUUUAAGGGACGAUAAGACCCUAUAAAUCUUAAUAUUAAAUUAUUUUUAGUUAAUUAAUAAUUGUAAAUAUAAUAAUAAAAUAUUAAAUAUUAUGUUGGGGUGACAAGAAUAUAAUAAAUAACUGUUCUAAAAUUAAAACAAAAUUAUUUGUAAAAAAAAAUGAUCCUUUAUAAAGAUUAAAAGUUCAAGUUACUUUAGGGAUAACANCGUUAUUUUUUUUGAGAGUUCUUAUCNAAAAAAAAGUUUGCGACCUCGAUGUUGAAUUAAAUUUUCUUUGUGGUGCAACCGUU
RNAcentral lists this ribosomal RNA (481 nucleotides) under Trapezionida mesembria. Its description in RNAcentral is "Munida mesembria partial 16S ribosomal RNA". It matches the Rfam family "Bacterial large subunit ribosomal RNA", at positions 1831 to 2563 of the family's 2925-position model. The record is from RNAcentral. Lineage: Eukaryota; Metazoa; Arthropoda; Malacostraca; Decapoda; Munididae.